Dreissena polymorpha is the source of this 887-nucleotide long non-coding RNA. RefSeq lists it as uncharacterized. Lineage: Eukaryota; Metazoa; Mollusca; Bivalvia; Myida; Dreissenidae. The record is from RefSeq and is a predicted model, not a curated record. The transcript has 4 exons.
CGCAUACCCGGCGUGGAGACUUGACAUGUCAAGUUUUCAAGCGAAAAUCAAAAUGUUCAAUGAAAUGGGGCGCAGAAGACUAUGAGGGAAGAAUCAUCAUUAAUACCAGAGUCAUAAUACAGAGGGAGACAUUAGCACGGUCAAGAGGCCAUGGUCUGCUGGCGGGGAACGAGCACGUCAUCAUUUCUGCCUGCAAAGGUUAUGUCCAGAUGAGGUGCAAAGACCACAACAAAACAGUGCCAGAUGACACCUCCCUCAACAAGGCAGCGACACCAGGGUUCCCGCUGUCGAUCGCCAUUGGCGCCAAUUGCGACAAAAUAAAAAAUCUGGCGACAAAAUUUCGUAAAUGGCGAUUUUAAAAAAAUCGGCAUUUUUCUGCGUUCAUAUUUUCUUAAAAUGACAAAAGACGCUGUGUUUACCAGCCGCUUUACGGCAGUCGUAAUACUAUAGAUUUCCAUGGUGUAAGCGAUACAGCUGUAAUCAAUGGAGCGUGGUGCUGACUGCCGACUACCGCAAAGUGGAAUGUUAUGGUGAUAAUUGCGAUUAUCUGGGGUGUUGUUGCAAGUUAUCUUAAUUGGUCGGCAGUUUUAUUGCUUCAGAGAUAAGGCAAUAUUGAAAUAUACCGACUUUGCGCUUAAAUGUGAAGUGUUUGUCACAGUGUUCGAAGCAGAUUCAAGACCGUUAAAUUGACAACAAUGACAAUCAAAAAGAAUACCAUAAAGCUUCUGAAGCACCAAAACUGUGGCAACAUAUUCAGGCUGCUAAGAAGGUGUCAAUCAACAAGAGUUACAACUGAUUGAAUGUGCCUUUAUUUAAUUAACAAUGUUAAAUGUGUUGUUAUUAUUAAUACUACUGUUAUUAAAUCAAUUCCUUUAACAUACUGUAAA